UGCAGUCGACGAUGAUGCCCAGCUUGCUGGGUGGAUUAGUGGCGAACGGGUGAGUAACACGUGAGUAACCUGCCCCUGACUCUGGGAUAAGCGUUGGAAACGACGUCUAAUACUGGAUAUGAUCACUGGCCGCAUGGUCUGGUGGUGGAAAGAUUUUUUGGUUGGGGCUGGAUCCCCUCCCUAUCAGCUUGUUGGUGAGGUAAUGGCUCACCAAGGCGACGACGGGUAGCCGGCCUGAGAGGGUGACCGGCCACACUGGGACUGAGACACGGCCCAGACUCCUACGGGAGGCAGCAGUGGGGAAUAUUGCACAAUGGGCGAAAGCCUGAUGCAGCAACGCCGCGUGAGGGAUGACGGCCUUCGGGUUGUAAACCUCUUUUAGUAGGGAAGAAGCGAAAGUGACGGUACCUGCAGAAAAAGCACCGGCUAACUACGUGCCAGCAGCCGCGGUAAUACGUAGGGUGCAAGCGUUGUCCGGAAUUAUUGGGCGUAAAGAGCUCGUAGGCGGUUUGUCGCGUCUGCUGUG
This 526-nucleotide ribosomal RNA is filed under the name bacterium. RNAcentral describes it as "bacterial SSU rRNA". It matches the Rfam family "Bacterial small subunit ribosomal RNA", at positions 56 to 596 of the family's 1533-position model. The record is from RNAcentral.